RNAcentral lists this long non-coding RNA (564 nucleotides) under Arabidopsis lyrata. RNAcentral's name for it is "long non-coding RNA (ALYR_LNC003072)". The record is from RNAcentral. Lineage: Eukaryota; Viridiplantae; Streptophyta; Magnoliopsida; Brassicales; Brassicaceae.
CUGCGAUUUGUAACAAAACAUUUUUCUCUUUAUUAAAGGACAAUAACAAAAACUUUGAAGGCUUUGUCCAAAAAAAAAAAAAAAACAAAAAAAAAAAAACAAAUACUUUGAAGGCCAAAACCAGCAUAUCUGAUAUCUGUAUAUAUGUUUGUAAUCUCAUGAACCAUGUGAAUCCAUCAUAGUAAUAUGCAAAUCAGACAACCACUUUCCCAAUCCUCUCGCAUGUGUGCAUGCGUGUAGUAUAUUUACGAAUCAUAACCCAGUUGUUGCAUAGUUACGACCGUUAACGAAAUCUGCCGCUGAUUCUGAAGCUCAACUUUUUAUCGUAAAGCUGUUAAUCUCGAGGAAGUUCUCAAGUGUUUGAUAUUCACCGUCCGAUUAGAUUCCUGGUAGAUUUUCUCUGCGACAAACAAAUAAAUUAGCCUCCACUUACUUUAAUUUGUUCAUUUCAAGAAACAAAGAUUCGUGUGGCUAAAAAUGGCCUUAUUAUCCUCGUCUCACCUCCUACUCCUAUGCUCACUUUCUGUUGCUGACGAUGCUCUGAUGAACAACUUGUGUUUUUUU